AAGCGAUUGGCGCUGUUGUAAGCCAGCGGGACACCUGGCGGUCAGGUGGAGAGCUGGCGUUUCUGUGGUCUGCCGUGCGGGCGCGGCGCGCGGGGUCGCUGCCGCCGCCGCCGCCGCCCCCGCGCCGUUCGGCCGGCGCGGCUGCGGCAACCGGUCGGCAGGGGCCGGCAGUAGCGCGGCACGUGUGGGAGCAGGCGGGGCCGGCCGACACGCGCCGUCCGACCGACCGUGGCCGGUAAGAUGAGCGUCGUUGCCAGCGACAUUCUGUUCGUGCGGGGCGACGGCGGCUACCGGCCCGGCCUGACGUCUCCAGUGGCUUCGCUGGACCUGGUGAAGCAGACUGGAGGCCCCCACUCGAGCUCCACGGUCAGCUCCAAGGACAGCGCCGUGUUCGAUGAGUUCCACCACUCGCCGCGCUGGCUGGCCAAAAACCGCCACAACGCUCAGAAGGCCGCCAAAUACAAACAGCUAUUCGGCUCCCAGCCGCGACCCGAUGGCCCGGCCAGCUCCGGGACGCCCCCGGUCAGCGGUCUGACCUCUGUGACCCCGGUCAGCGGGCCGGCGGGCCAGACGGGGUCAGGCGGACGGCGGCCGCCGCUGCCCGCCGCCAGGAGUUCGCUGUCGUCCAUCACAUCACUGAUUCUAGGCACCAAUCGGUUUCGACAGCGGUCUGCCAAGGCAAAUCAUCGGUCGACGACCGUGCUGAACACAGCGAAGGAGGCCGUCAACCACACUUCGACGACCAUCAUCACCGGCAGCCCGGUCCCGGGAGGCGGCCGGUCAGAAACGGCACCGGACGCUCCGUCCCCGAUCAAAGGGGACCGCCGGCCGCCGACCUGGAUCGAGAAGGCACUGCGCGCCGACGCUGCGACCCCGUCCCAGCUGCCGGCGCCGCUCCGGCUCGGCCGCCAAUCGGAGCCGGCGCAGCGGCUCGGUGACGUCACCGGCCACCGCGAUGUCGUCACCGAUGACGUGAAGGGUCGGCCGCCGCGGCCCGGCCGGCCGGCGCGCAUCAGUUUGGUGACCGUCAGCGCGGCGGAGCAGGCCGCCGCGGCCACGCAACAAAGUGCGUCGGAGCGUGGUGACAGUGCGAGCGGUGUGGGCGCAGCAAGCGGACCGCAGACCGACGCCGGCUCAGUGCCGGUGGCCCCUCCGCGGCGGCGCCGUCCGACCGGCCGUCUGACCUCGAGCGUGGGCGACCUGCUCGACUCGGGGGAGCGCCGGCCGCGCCUGGUACCGCACGGCGUGCCCACCGCCACCACCCGGCUGACGAUCCCGCUCAGCGGCCUGCGGGGCCCGCCGGCCGCGCCAGCCGGCACCCACUCGAGGCCCGAGCCCGACUCGAGUCACGACUCCUCGCUCAGGGGUCACGACUCGGCAGCCCCCACCGCUCCUCGGCCCCAGCCGCGGCGGCACAGCAAGUCCACCGGCAGUCUCCUGUUCGCCGGAGAGACCCCAGGCAGCCCGCCGAGGGCGGCACCGAGAGCUCUCAAGUUCAGCAUCGGGAGGGCGCUCACCGAGCACGGCGCGAGGACCAGCGUCCAAUUGACGUCCGACGGAGCCUCAGAGACACAGCCGGAGCGACAGAGCCGUCAGGAGCCGCGGCCGGAGUCCAAGCGACCGUCGGAACCUGAACAGGAGCCGGACAGGACGCCACCGUCAUUGUUUGAAAGGACAGGAGAGCUGAAGAGCGGUAGCAGGGCCAGUAUCCGUGUUCAGUCGCCGCCCCGGCAGCCGGUCACCAGUCUCCCGGAGCCGCGGUCGGCGGAGCUGGAGACAGACUCCAGUUCGGCGGACGGCAGUGACUCCCCGCCAUCCCUCCGUCGCGUCCUCAGCCCGCUCUCUGCCGACUCUGUAUCAGACCUUUCUGCGGCCGCGGGCUCGGAGCGGCGCACCUACCGGAGUCGACGGCCGGUCAGCACCACCGCGUCCCCGGCCACCCCGCUGCUCUCCAGCCAGGAUCGGCGCCGGCCACAGAGCGCCUUCAACGCGCGGCGGACGAUCGCGCACCGCCGCCAGGCAGAGGCGGCCGCCAGGAGCGCCUCGGAGCCGCGCCGGCGACACACGGCUACCUGGGUCACCGGCAAGAUCAACGUGAGCGUGACGAGCGUGGGUCGCGCAGCCAGUCUGACGCAGCUGGGCGCCGGCGGAGGGACGAGGGCGCUGACCGUCUCGGACCGCUCCUCCUCCAGUCCAACCCUGGAGCAGGAGAAGCGCGACAUCCGCCGCUACCUGUACUGCACCAACCUGACCUCGGGCGACCAGAGCCCUGAGCGCGAGCGGCGUCUGUCCGAGAGCUGCCUGCGACUGGGCGCGCCGGCGGCCGGUGACGAGCUGCCCGAGCGGCCGGCCGACCCGCGCCUCCUCUCGCCCGACUCGAUCGGAUCGUGCUGGAGCGCCGUCACCGCCGACGUGCUCACCGUGCGCGACACAGCCGACGAGCGCUCUGACGUCACUGGAGACCGGUGUGACGUCUUUGGAGGCCGGACGGACGCCGCGAUGACUCUGGAAACGGAGGAUGAGCGGCCGCCCAGCUCGAUCUCGACCGCCGCGUCCACCGGCCCGCGGCGGCGGCUGAGCACCAGUGUGGUCCACCUGUGGGGUCCCGACGAGAGCCACCUGCUGCCGUCCGGCCCCAGCAGUCUGCCCAGCACAAGACCAGCGCGGCCUCACAGCCUGUCGAGCUCUACACUGCUCGGUGGGACGGACCAACAGCCCAGCUGGCUGCCCAGGAGCCAGGAGCGGCGCAGUCUGCGGGACGGCCUCAAAGGAGACGCCUGGAGCCGUACUGCUGACCCCGCUCAGUCACCCACCACGCUGCUAACGGCCAGUGUGGGGCAGCCGGCCGCGGGCCUGGCCAACGGCCAGCCGGCCGAGCCACGCCUCAGCUCCGAGUCACGCCCGCCGGCCGGCGGACACGGCCCCCGACCGGCACCGCUAGAUCUCAGCGCCAACGCCGACGUCGAGCUUUCAUCUGAGGUUCCGCCCGAGCCUCCUUCGUGUCCUCCUCCCGACUCACCGACCGAGUCGCCGUGUGACCUGCCCCCUCCGCCCCCCUCGCAGCCUCCCCCGGACUCUCCCCCGGACUCUCCCCCUCCUCUGCCCUCGGUGCCUCCCCCAGAGUCGCCGACCGACUCCGGUCCUGAACCGCUGUGGACCAGCCGUUUCGAGCGGCCCCGGCGACAAUCCCUGUCGACCAGUCUGCCCAGUUUCGCCACGGUGCCUGUAGUAUCGGACGGCUCGGCCAGUGUGGGUAGGAAGCCUCCCAGUGUGGCUCCCUCUCUAUGGUCCGACAGUCCGGCGGCACCGAUCGGCCGGCCCGCGGCGCGCCGUCCCCUGCGGCCGGCUGGGCUCGCCUCUGACGCGGGGCGCGGGCCCUCCAGCCUGCCGGCGGUCACACCCGACAGCGGCGCCGGCGCGGCCGACUGCACGGCUCAGUGGACAGGGGCGGGCGGCGGCGCGGCUGCUGCGCCCGCCGACCGGCACACAGUACAGGUGCGUGUGGCGCGGCCGGAGCACUCCCCAGAAACGGCUGGCAGCGCCCAGCGGCGCCGCGCCAGCACUGGGGUGUACCUGAACGGCGCGGCGCCGGCCGCCGAGAGCCGCACCCAGACCAGCUUCACCAUCAGCCUGGGCGGCGCCAGGAAGCGGCCGUCGUUGUUCUCUCAGCGCUCGUCGCCCAGUCUGCUGUCCACCAGCCAGCCGGCCUCCCUGCCCACGCUCUCCAGUAAGUCGCCCACGUCCCCGCCGCCGGCCAAGCAGCCGCUGUCGCUGUCCGGCCUCCGCGCGGCCCGCCGGCCUCUGUCGACACCGGCAGUACAGGCUCCACCGGCUACAGCCUCCGACAGGCAGCCAGUGUCGCUGCCGGGCCUGUUUGACGCGCGGCAGCCGACUCCUUCAGCACAACGAGAGCCGACAUCACUGCCGGCAGCGACCCGGCUCCCUAAGUCGCCGCCUCCGUCCCGGUCCCAGCCGUCCCUUCCCAAGUCGCCUCCGCCGUCUCGGCCACCGCCGUCCCUCCCCAAGUCACCGCCUCCGUCCCGGUCCCCACCCCGGUCUCCGGCGGCGUCUCGGACCGAGGACAGCCGGCGCGGCUCGAGCGAGCUGCAGCGGCAGCUGGAGGACGACUGGGCGCGGAUGGAGCGGCGGCACCAGGCGUUCCUGCGGCACACGGCCCAGCAGCGCGGCCAGCCGGCGCCGCGCUCCAUUCUGAAGAAGCAGAGCGCACCCAGCCUGCUGGAGAGCGUGGCCAGUGAGAGCCGGCCCGGCUGGGAGCGCGCUGAGCAGCCGCGGCGCCGCGCCAGCAACGUCAACUGGCACGACCUGGAGCGGACCAAGCAGCAGAUCCGCUCCGAGAUCGAGCGCAUGAAGCGCCAGCUUCGAUCCGAGAUGGGCGGCAGCGGCAGCCGGGCGGGGCCGUGGCCUCCGCGGCCGGCGGCCAGCUCCGCCGCCUCCGCCACCAGUUCGACAUCAGGCCGCACCGUGGUGGAGACGAUCCACGCCAUCCACAUCGAGCGCGACUCCAGCCCGGGACUCGUCAUCACCGAGGUGGACGACGCCGAUGACGCCGCCUCCAACCACUCAGGCGUUGUCAUCGAGGAGAUCUUUGACGACGAGCUGGACGCCGCGGCGCCGGCGGGCGAUGCCGACUCGCUGCCGCGCCCAGCAGCGCAGGAGCGAUCUCACCCGGGUCCUGCGGUGUCAGAACCGCAGCCGCAACCGUCACCAUCUCCCUGGUGGAGGACCCCGGUGGCUGCGGCCUCGGCGGCCACUGAGACGUCUCACCUGCCCGGAUGGAGGCGGCCGACCCAACCAGCCACCGCCGUAUCAGGUGCGGAGUCUCGGCUCCUCCACUCGGCAGGGUCGGUGUCUGAGCGGCCAGUGUCCGGCGGCGGACUGUCUGACGGGGAGCGGCAGCACGUGCAGGUGGAGCAGCUGAGUGCGACGUCCGUCUCCGGGGAACAGCAGAGGGAUCUCUCGAUGACUCAUUUUCGGCACCUGUAUGUCGAUAAGAUGAAAACGGUGCAUAUUGGAACAGCGGGCCGUGUUCACAGAUGGCGGCAGCGCGGAGUGGCUGCCUACGGCGUCUGAGGCCGCGGCGUCGCCGGCCGAACCACGCUCGGACGAGCCGCGGCCGCCGGAGGCUUCUCGCUGGAACGGCCCGCCUCAGCCGGCUGCCGUAGCACGGGAGACGGAGCCGCACUCGCCGCUGUCAGCUUCCCUGGAGUCAGAGCUGACGCAGUCUGCUGCAGCCCCGGAAACGGGGACAGCACCGCCGGCAGCAGCACCGCCAACGCCUUCUUCAUCCGUGUCUGAUGACCUCGCAGCUCUCCGAGUAUCAGACGCACAGGCCUCUGAUAACGCUCCAAAGUUGUUAGGAAGUUUGGAAACUUCAGAACGUAAAGCUGAAUUGGAUCGGUUGGAAGAAGACAUAGGACGGACUGCAGGUGAGAGCAUCAGUGGAGUGGAAGGGAGCAGGCUCGUGACUUCGAUUGAAUCUUGCCAGUCAUCUGUGGUUGACAGGGCGAACGAAGCUCAGGAAGAUUGUCGCCAGUCAGUUUUGGAUGCGAAGUCUUCCAUCACAGUGUCUGAUACGUCUUGCCAGUUGUCGGAAAAGUCCGACUUGUCUUUGUUAAACCAUAGCGUGUCAAAACUGCCGUCGGCUCAGGAGUCACAAUCAUUGAACAGUCGGUCAGAUACAUCGGACGUAUUCAAAUCAUCACCAGGUGAGAGGCCUGAGACGCAUCAGCUGCCUGAGGAGUCUCAGAAACCCCAUAACUCCAGGACGACCUCUGAAUCCCCAGCCCCAUCGGAGAAACCCCAGUCGUCACAACAGCCCUCCAAGAAGAGCCGCAGGAUGCCACCAGCGUCAACGUUCGGUAGUUGGAAGGCGCGGCACGCGGGUCUGGUCGCCCCCGGCUCCCAGGCCGGCCGGUCCGGCAGCACGGCUGUUGGCAGGAGCGUGGAGGUGGCGCUGGGUCGCCUGCUGGCCGGGUCCGGUCGGGCUGAUCGUGGCACGCAGGUCACACAGAAAGUAGAGCCCGCACGGAGCGGCGCCGCCGCGGGGCGGCCGGUGUCCCGUCCCCGCCCCGCGGCCGACCGCGGUGUGACACCGCCGCGGCAGCACCGCACUGGGCCCGGAGAAGGGACGCCCGCUCAGAGAGUGUCGGCCGCCAGAGCCGCCAGACAAGCCCCGUCCGCUCCGAGCCAUAGUCCGUCUGUCCCGAGACAAGAGCCGCCGACAACACUAAGCACUACUUCGCGUGUGGAUGUUGACCAGCGGAAGGAUAAUGAGCGACGUAGGGUAGCGGGGCCGAACAGUGAUCUUGAGGCACACAGAGGUGAGGAAAGGCGGCACGGCGGUCCCCGGUCUGUUACUGGAGACAGGGCGACAAAGUUCCACCGUACUACUGAAUCAGCACGGACGCAGACAAAGCCCAGCUCCCACAGAGAUAAAGCGGAUAGCGGCGACAGAAAUAGUGCUACAAAUCGAGGCUCUCGGACGGAGAAUUUAAAACCAAAACCACAAACAAAGCCCCCUCCAGCGACCGAGCGUGUCCAAAACACUCGAUUGGUUAUCACCCAGAAAUUGAAUGCCAGCUCACCACAUUUCUACACGGAAAUGCAGUGGAACGAGAUGGGGACCGGCAAGGUCCGCCACGGCAGAUCGCCAAACGAUGGUGAGUCGACCGCUCCGGACGAGACCCGACACUAUCACUCUGUGGCCGCGGUCGGCGCCAGCGUCACCAGCCGAGUGGUGACACCCGGUGGUGACCUCCGCACCACGUUCAGCACCAGCACCACUUCCGGCACCAGCCCGGGACGACCGCGCUCCCCGGCGCCGGGCCGCCGGCCGGCCAGCGCCGCGCCGAGGCCAGACUAUUUGUCACAUUCAUCGAGACCAAGUAAAAGUGUCCAUGGUUGCAGCAUCACAGUCCAGGAAUUUAUUGUAUAAUAUAGAUGAUAGGUGUAGCUCAUUGAGUGGUGCCCUCGCGACAGCACAGUCACAACGCGGCGGGGGCGGCAGUGUCGCCUUGUUAUGACAGAACGGGGCCCAGGUCGUCUUCCCGGCGUCAGUUCCUCUGUUGGCUCGACCUACACUCGGUCAGAGACCUUUGGAGAGUCGCAGUCCUCGCCUCCGAUAGGCCGGCCAGGCGACUGUGCGAAGCUGUGUCUGCGGAGGUACCGUCGCUCAGUCUGCGGCCACUGUGAUAUAUGAUUAAUGUGGCAUUAUGUAAUACAUCAUCCGUGUUUACA
RNA transcript from Amphibalanus amphitrite, 7257 nucleotides. It is a transcript of the gene named proline-rich protein 36-like, with no coding region annotated. Lineage: Eukaryota; Metazoa; Arthropoda; Thecostraca; Balanomorpha; Balanidae. The transcript has 11 exons. The record is from RefSeq and is a predicted model, not a curated record.